AGGAACGUGAAUUCCAUGGAUUGAAGGAAGAAAGAGUCAGACAUCUGAUUUCGGAAUUAUCGUUGCAAACAGAGAGGAAGAACAGUCGUCUAUGAAUAAUGGAUGGGUGAGAUUAGCAGGGACAAAAAUCCAUAGUAGAGGAUAAAGAGAAGGCAAGAGAAGAUUUUGGAGAGAUGGGAAAGGCAGUGAGAAAAACUAAGAGAGGAAGCUGUGGUAAUUACCUUCUCUCUAACUAGCCUUGAACCAUUGCCCUGAUGGACUGCGUGUUAAACACAAACCAACAAGUUACGAGGAAGACCGAACCACCAAGGAAACUGGCUUGAUCUCCUAGCAAAGUCCUGCCAGCCAACCAACAUCUACAUGGUUUGGAACAUGACUUCAAGCCAAAGUUGGUUUGCAGCUCUCUGCUAGGAGAUUAGAUUAGUUGAAACCACUUUUAGUUUGACUGAUUCUUUAUCUUAUUCCUUCAAAAUCUUCUAUUACUUCCUACUGUCCCUCUUCUAUGCGUUUUUGUCCCUUGCAAAUCCCAUCAUGUCAUCUGAGAUGUAGAAAUGCAUGGUUUUACAGGGAACGCAAGAAUUUGUUGAAAGGAAUGGUUAUGAUUUCACCUUGGUUUCCUUUUUCUGUAAUCAGGUAUUAUCUUGUUAUCGGAGAAGAUCAGGUACGGUAAAGAUCACAGUGUCAUCUCGGUUUCCUUUCCCUGCAUCAAACAGGGGAGGAAUUUUAUCAUUUAAGGGAAUUUUGUAUAAUUCCUUUCAUUUUCUUGUUGAAUUUUGUUAUAAUGCUUACAAUUUUCAUUUCCUUUUUUGAAUUUUUUCCGUAGGCGUGUGAGCUGGGAUAUUUCUCAGUGUUUUCAGAACCGAGUCUAACAUAAGCAUUUCCUAGAAAGCCAGGAUGGCUCCGUGUCUAAGAGGGAAGGAGGAGGAAUAAUCAUUUAUGGGAUGUAAAUUUAGGACUGCAUUCUUUGAACUCAAAAGGAAUUUGCAAAAAGCUAGGGCAUGAAGAAAUGAAACAAAAUAUUAGCCGCCGCAGAGGCACCUUUCGUGGAAACUACAAGCGGCUUCUCAUCCUAUCAUGAACUAGGAAGCAUGUUGUUGUCACUCCCCUUCAGUAUUUUGGGCCAUUAAUUGCUUCAUAAUUGUGCACCUAGUCGAGUUUGGUAUUCGAGUUCAAGGAUCUGAAACUCGGCCAAAGUUCAGCUAGCCCGGCCCAGUGAGCUAGACCUCGAAUAGAACACGCCCAGGGAAGGAAGAAAAGCAAAAACUUUAGUCCAGAGCCGGAGCAGUGCAACGUAAUCUCGAGAAAAACAUCGACUUUUUCAUAUCUUUCAAGCUUUGUUUAUUUUAGAACUAACAAUGUAAACCAUACCUGACACCAUAUAAAGCUUUAACCCAACUUAAAUCAAAAAAUUUCCGAGGCUAAAUUUUAUAAUGUAUUGAAGAUUUUGUGAGAUGCCUUCAGUUAGGGAUCAGAUAGGUGAAGAUGGGAGUGCCCGGUUGUCGUAACCAGGGAGUGAGCUGGACACCCUUCUCGCAUGUUUAUAUGCGAGCACUGACCACUCAUCAUAUCCCGUUAAACCCUGAAGGAUCAUGAUUGGUAGGGGGUUGUUUUCUCUAUUUUAUAGCAAGGUCUGAGACCCUCCCUUUCUAUCUUGUCGAUGUGGGAUAAUAAAGGCCCACUCGCAGAUCUGGAUGGUGAUUGAGUCGAGACCCUUUUGGCCUUGCUGGGUUUUCCAUUAUAGCAAAUGACAUGUCUUUCACAUAACCGGUUGAGCACAAGUUUUUGAUGUAUUUAAAUUAUGCUUAUUA
This is a long non-coding RNA of Populus euphratica (Euphrates poplar), 1808 nucleotides long. RefSeq lists it as uncharacterized. The transcript is spliced from 3 exons. NCBI's taxonomy places the organism in Eukaryota, Viridiplantae, Streptophyta, Magnoliopsida, Malpighiales, Salicaceae. The record is from RefSeq and is a predicted model, not a curated record.